CGCCCUUAAACAUGUCUAGAACAUAGUUCUAAAGUGUGUAUCAAUACUUGCUUCACGUGACUUCAGGCAUGAUCAGAACGCACUCAUCAAAAAAAUUGGCAGCUUUUCCAUGAGAGAAAUACCUCGAUGAGACAAAUCACUAAAAAAACGUCUCCAUUGGUUACCUGUACACAGCUUUUGUUGAUAGAAGCAAUUUUACAUACAGCGGCGUACGAAAAGGCAAGUAGUCGCACGGUUGUAUCACGAUGAGUGCGGUAACGAAAGAUCCCUGAUUAAAGCGAAUGCACAGUGCAAACAUGUUCGUGAGCGAAGAAAACGAAGCUGCCAGACAGACUUCUAAUAUCCGGAGGAACUCUGCAGUGUUGUGGACAUUUCUGCCAACAGUGCUAACAUCUGGGGACUGUUACACGUAACUGUUUCCAGCCUCCAACAGGUGUUGAGUUGUUUAUGCUAGAGUUCAAAUUGGACUUGUAACUACAUAG
Stylophora pistillata is the source of this 482-nucleotide long non-coding RNA. Lineage: Eukaryota; Metazoa; Cnidaria; Anthozoa; Scleractinia; Pocilloporidae. The record is from RefSeq and is a predicted model, not a curated record.